This is a long non-coding RNA of Gossypium raimondii (Peruvian cotton), 1677 nucleotides long. RefSeq lists it as uncharacterized. The record is from RefSeq and is a predicted model, not a curated record. The transcript has 3 exons. Lineage: Eukaryota; Viridiplantae; Streptophyta; Magnoliopsida; Malvales; Malvaceae.
AACCUUGCUCCAAAUUUACAGUCGGUUUCAAGUUUCCUGGCAAUAGGAAGUUGAAAAUUCAUAUUUCUCCCGGUUUUUCCUCCUCCUCAAAACCCAUGACUUUUUCGGUGCUCUGUUGAGUGCUUCAUCGUUAACCAUUACCACUCUGUUUUCUAGGAAAAUGAUUGGCAAAACGCGAACAUUAAAAGGUGUAUGAUUCUCUUCGAGGGGUUCUUUGACAGGUUCAAAUACCUUGGGAAGUGCUACUACCGAUAGUCAAAGCACGAGAGAAGAAACUCCAACUCAAUCAGCUGAAAAAGUACCUGCAACUCCGGCUGUUUGAUCUCCAAGGUAAGGUGGAGGACUCUAACAUCCUCUCACAUGUUGGAAAACUCCGGAAGGAGUUUAAAUCAACUUUGAAAACUAGAUACUACAAAGAGAUGGUUCAAGAAGGUCGAUCGCUUGAAGAAAUAUAUGAAAACAAUCCUCUUGGUGUGCAUGAUGAUCAAUAGAAGUGGCUAGUGGAGCGAUGGGGAACACUGCAAGCUGCGGUAUGCACUUUUAUUAGACUAAAUGUCCCAUUUUUUCUGCUUCCACUUACUGUAUGAUCAAAGUAAGGGUGCAUAUAUGCGUGAUUUGUUGAAUGAGUCAUAAUAAACUUAGCUUUCCUAUUACUCUCAUAUUUUUUUCUCAUUAAUUUAAACAACAAGCACAAUCAGAAAAGGCGAAAGAAUUCCAAACAAAUGUGUGUUAUGCACACACCGCUGGUAACAUAGGAUAUGCGACCCUCAAUGCACAAUUUGUUGUGAACCCUCGUGUUUGGACCAGUUUAGAUUUCAACAUUUGCGAAAAGAUGGGGGUGACAAAUUGAGCAGUGAGGCAGCAGAAUAAGUUUAUGUAAGAAACAAAUGGGUAUUAUUUAUUUAUAUAUUUUUUGACAUCAAUUUUACUUUUUUUUCAAAAUAUAUUUUUCUAAUGAAAGAGAACUGUAAGAUGAAGCAUGUAAGAGGGUUAAAGACUCUAUGCCAACACCUGAGAGUUCUUUCGCUGCUCAAGAUAAUAUUGCAUUAGAAAACGAGGUGUAUACACAAGUGUUCGGCCUUGACAAGGAUGGAAAAUGUUGGGAUAUGGACGUGGGAUGACCAAAUCCAGGUUGUUUGGCUAUGGUUCAGUCACCCGAGGAAGCCAAUCUACAUUGGCCAUCAGUACAUUGAUUGAAGGGAUAAGCGCUAAACAUGUCUAGCAAAUACAAACAAUUCAAGCCGAACAAGCAAUUUGAGAGAAAACUCUACUCGAGGAAGCAGAAUCUCGAUUUCGUACGGAGGCCGUAGAGCGAGAAGCUCGUUUGAUAGUUGAGGCAAAAGAAAGAUUUAUGAAAUUAACUGAAAUUUGAGAGGCAAAUUUCAUGGACAUGAUGGAUGCUCGUGAGAAAAAGUAUAGGGCUCUCCUCAACAAGUGUAUGGCAAAGGGAAUGUCAAGUAAGUACAGGGCUUUUCAUAGUAAGCAUAGUAAGGUGACUAUUUUAUAACUAGUUUGUCAAUAAGUUUGUCAAUGGUUUAAUAGACAUUGAUUGUUGUAACUGAAUGCUAGGUUCUUAUUUGAUGUCUUCAUUGCUUGCUCAACUAAUAAUUAGUGGAUGUACUGAUGAAAAUUCUUUAUUUAACUUCAAUUUAUGGUUCUUUGGUUAAUUCUAAAAUA